CCUACGGGUGGCAGCAGUGAGGAAUAUUGGUCAAUGGGCGCGAGCCUGAACCAGCCAAGUAGCGUGAAGGAUGACUGCCCUACGGGUUGUAAGCUUCUUUUAUAAAGGAAUAAAGUGAUGCACGUGUGCCUUUUUGUAUGUACUUUAUGAAUAAGGAUCGGCUAACUCCGUGCCAGCCGCCGCGGUACUACGGAGGCUCCGAGCGUUAUCCGGAUUUAUUGGGUUUAAAGGGAGCGUAGAUGGGUUGUUAAGUCAGUUGUGAAAGUUCGCGGCUGAACCGUAAAAUUGCAAUUGAUACUGGCAGCCUUGAGUACAGUUGAGGUAGGCGGAAUUCGUGGUGUAGCGGUGAAAUGCUUAGAGAUCACGAAGAACUCCGAGGGCGAAGGCAGCCUACUAAACUGCCACUGACAUUGAUGCUCGAAAGUGUGGGUAUCAAACAGGAUUAGAUACCCGAGUAGUC
This 460-nucleotide ribosomal RNA is filed under the name uncultured bacterium. RNAcentral's name for it is "partial 16S ribosomal RNA". It matches the Rfam family "Bacterial small subunit ribosomal RNA", at positions 338 to 795 of the family's 1533-position model. The record is from RNAcentral.